Molecule: unclassified non-coding RNA, 364 nt
Filed under: Hevea brasiliensis (rubber tree)
Lineage: Eukaryota; Viridiplantae; Streptophyta; Magnoliopsida; Malpighiales; Euphorbiaceae
Source: RNAcentral
CUCUUCUCAAGGAUGAUAGAAGUGAUGUGAUACUCUUGAAGUUCUUGAGGGCCAGGGAGUUCAAAGUAAAAGAUGCAUUUAUCAUGAUCCAGAGCACAAUCCGAUGGAGGAAGGAAUUUAAAAUCGAUGAACUUCUUGAUGAAGAUCUAGGCGAUGAUUUGGAUAAAGUUGUGUUUAUGCAUGGUCAUGACAGGGAGGGGCAUCCUGUGUGCUAUAAUGUGUAUGGGGAGUUUCAGAAUAAAGAAUUGUAUCAAAAGACAUUUGCUGACGAGGAGAAGAGAAUGAAGUUUCUGCGGUUUCGGAUUCAGUUCUUAGAGAGGAGUAUAAGGAAGCUUGAUUUUAGUCCUGGUGGUAUUUCUACCAU